UUGAUAUUGUUUGUACAGCAUUUAUGUGUUUUUAGUAAGUAGCAACGCGAAUAUCAACUAAAGUUUUCAAAAAGCGGAAACAAUAUUAGAAGAAAAGUAGUUACAAAUUACUUUACCCUCGCAAAAUGUAAAUAUAGGCUUAUUUAUCCAUCAAAAAGUGACGUAACCUCAAAACCUGAAGCUGCUGUGGGCCUACCUUUGGUUGCAACAUCUAACACUAUCCUCUGAAGUAGUUUCUGUGACUGCCUAUAUUCCUUAAUCAGACCCAAUACUAGAGAAGACACUGGCCGUCACACGGAGAGUUCAGACGCUACCCUGGUGGAAUGUGAUUGCAGAACCAGCCUACUCAUCCUUAGACCUAGAUGUAAUCUCCACCUUCUUGCAUUUUCGGUUUGAAACCAUAUCGGGACCUAAUGGAUUAAUUCCUAAAAGCAACCUUGAUCAGGUCAAUAGUGUACAGAACACGGACAGAGGUCACAAUAGUUGAAACUAGGAGGAGAAAUCUUUCGCCAAUAAUACGGAGCAAUUCAGUUACUAUCCCAGUAGUUGUGCGAAAGUUGCUUCGUUUUAUCUUGUUUCAAGGGACACGGUUUGGACUUAUUAGUGAAAAUAUAGUUAUAUAAAGUAGUAGUUACACUUUAUUUUAUUUUAUACAAAAUGUAUUCAAAUAAAAUAUAUUUUCACUGCGUUA
Homalodisca vitripennis (glassy-winged sharpshooter) is the source of this 691-nucleotide long non-coding RNA. RefSeq lists it as uncharacterized. The transcript has 2 exons. The record is from RefSeq and is a predicted model, not a curated record. NCBI's taxonomy places the organism in Eukaryota, Metazoa, Arthropoda, Insecta, Hemiptera, Cicadellidae.